AUACUUACCUGGCAGAGGAGAUACCAUGAUUACAAAGAUGGUUUUCUCAGGGUGAGGUUUAUCCAUUGUACUCUGGAUGUGCUAACCCCUGUGAUUUCCCCAGAUGUGGGAAACUCAACUGCAUAAUUUGUGAUAGUGGGGAAUUGUGUUUGUGUUCUCCCCUG
This is a non-coding RNA of Canis lupus familiaris (dog), 164 nucleotides long. The record is from Rfam. NCBI's taxonomy places the organism in Eukaryota, Metazoa, Chordata, Mammalia, Carnivora, Canidae.